RNAcentral lists this unclassified non-coding RNA (770 nucleotides) under Hevea brasiliensis (rubber tree). Lineage: Eukaryota; Viridiplantae; Streptophyta; Magnoliopsida; Malpighiales; Euphorbiaceae. The record is from RNAcentral.
GUGAAAAUACAAGCACACAAUAUAUCAAACACCACAUUCAUUUCUCAUUCACUUAUCUAUGGAAGUUUAUUCUUCUAGCUCUUCUUCUUCUUCUUCCUCUUCCUCACCACUGCACUUUUCGCAAUACCCACAUGGAGGAAAGGGCCAAAAAGUGUCGCAGUUGCUCCAUUCGGUUCGUAAGCCCCAGCUGAAGCCAUGGAAGAAACCAAUUGCACCAUUGCCACCAACCCCACCAAGAGUGUACAAGGUCGACCCUAUAAACUUCAGGGAUCUUGUUCAGAAGCUCACCGGUGCGCCUGAUCCCUCGCAGUCUCAGCAGAGGCUCCAACGUAUGGCCCCUCCUCCGCUUGAUUUGGAGAAAGAAAAACCCGCAUUGUUUAGCAAAGAUUUUGCAGCACCUUUGCAGCUCCUUCCUUCCCCAGUCAAAGCUCCAUUUUCUGCUUUAUAUCAGGAGUUGAUGUCUGACACACCUGCUGAUCCAAAACCCAGGAAGGUUUCCGAAAGUGUAAUGGCAUCGACUUCGCUCGAGUUGAACCUGCUGUCCCCAUCUACCCAUGGUUGGUGUUCUUUUCCUCUUCUGAGUCCUGGAACACUUUCCAGCUUGGAGCAAAGCACAGUCCUUUAAAAUUUAGUUGAAAGCAGCUUUAUUUCUUGCUUCUUUAAGCUUCAAAGAGAUGCAGAAAAGAUCAAACUUCUCUUCUUUUUUAAAUCGUAAGUACGUAUUAAACCAGCUAUUGGCCAUUCACCAGAACCAUCAGCCACAACAGCCG